RNAcentral lists this ribosomal RNA (565 nucleotides) under uncultured archaeon. RNAcentral describes it as "bacterial SSU rRNA". It matches the Rfam family "Archaeal small subunit ribosomal RNA", at positions 326 to 891 of the family's 1478-position model. The record is from RNAcentral.
CGGGGUGCAGCAGGCGCGAAAACUUUACAAUGCCGGCAACGGCGAUAAGGGAACCUCGAGUGCCAGGUUACAAAUCUGGCUGUCGUGAUGCCUAAAAAGCAUUGCAUAGCAAGGGCCGGGCAAGACCGGUGCCAGCCGCCGCGGUAACACCGGCGGCUCGAGUGGUAACCGUUAUUAUUGGGUCUAAAGGGUCUGUAGCCGGCCGGGUAAGUCUCUUGGGAAAUCUGGCAGCUUAACUGUCAGGCUUUCAGGAGAUACUGCCUGGCUCGAGGCCGGGAGAGGUGAGAGGUACUUCAGGGGUAGGGGUGAAAUCUUGUAAUCCUUGAAGGACCACCAGUGGCGAAGGCGUCUCACCAGAACGGACCUGACGGCAAGGGACGAAAGCUAGGGGCACGAACCGGAUUAGAUACCCGGGUAGUCCUAGCCGUAAACGAUACUCGCUAGGUGUCGGCCACGGUGCGACCGUGGUCGGUGCCGUAGGGAAGCCGUGAAGCGAGCCACCUGGGAAGUACGGCCGCAAGGCUGAAACUUAAAGGAAUUGGCGGGGGAGCACAAGGGCGAAUGC